AUAAUUCUACGUAAUCUUAUUCCGUUAAGAAAACUUGUUAUAACCUUAUCAGAAAUUAAAACAACUUUCAAUGCUAUAAGAAGAGAGGUAAAAUCAUUUUAUACAAUACGAAACUCUCACCUCUCUGCAAGGCGUUCCAGAAACAAGCGAUACGUGAUCUGUGGAGCAGCUCCAACGAAAACACCACCCACAAAAUGGACAACUCCAACAGGAUCUCCUUUGCUCGGUCUUAGAAUCCAUGCUCCCUGGAGAAGGGAAACAAAAUCACCAGUGCUCUCCCCGCGAAAGAAAAAAAAAAGAAAAGAUAGAGCUUACUUGGAUUUCUUGCCAGCGUCCAAGAGUUCCUUGUGCUUUCAUCGCAGAGUUCACAAAAACCCUGGAAAGAAAGAAGAACAAGCAUGAAAACGAGGCAAUUCAUCGAAAUUCUUUCACCAGCAUACUUCUCGAUCUGUCCUUAGAGCUGGAGGCUACCAUUCUUUCCUUGCGGCUUCCCUUGGAACUCGAGGAGCUAGAAAACCUGGGAUUGUCUCGUCGCCGGCACCAUGACGCUGCCGCGGUCGCGAAUCCAGUGCCUGCCCUGGCAGAAGAAG
Molecule: long non-coding RNA, 590 nt
Filed under: Selaginella moellendorffii
Lineage: Eukaryota; Viridiplantae; Streptophyta; Lycopodiopsida; Selaginellales; Selaginellaceae
Description: long non-coding RNA (SMOE_LNC000883)
Source: RNAcentral